CUACGGAGGAUGCAAGCGUUAUCCGGAUUUAUUGGGUUUAAAGGGUGCGUAGGCGGUUUGCUAAGCGGGAGGUGAAAUGCCGGCGCUCAACGUCGGAAGUGCCUCCCGAACUGGUGGACUGGAAUGACUCUGCCGUGGGAGGAAUGUGUAGUGUAGCGGUGAAAUGCUUAGAGAUUACACAGAACACCGAUUGCGAAGGCAUCUCACGAAGGGUUGAUUGACGCUGAGGCACGAAAGCGUGGGGAUCAAACAGGAUUAGAUACCCUGGUAGUCCACGCAGUAAACGAUGAUGGCUAACCGCUGGUUUUUUCGGAUCAGUGGCCAAGCGAAAGCGAUAAGCCAUCCACCUGGGGAGUACGACCGCAAGGUUGAAACUCAAAGGAAUUGACGGGG
RNAcentral lists this ribosomal RNA (393 nucleotides) under uncultured bacterium. RNAcentral's name for it is "partial 16S ribosomal RNA". It matches the Rfam family "Bacterial small subunit ribosomal RNA", at positions 523 to 918 of the family's 1533-position model. The record is from RNAcentral.